AUUUGUGAUGAUGAUGUUGUUGAG
RNAcentral lists this non-coding RNA (24 nucleotides) under Arabidopsis thaliana (thale cress). The record is from RNAcentral. Lineage: Eukaryota; Viridiplantae; Streptophyta; Magnoliopsida; Brassicales; Brassicaceae.